UACGUAGGUGGCGAGCGUUGUCCGGAAUUACUGGGUGUAAAGGGCGUGUAGGCGGGGAUGUAAGUCAGAUGUGAAAUACCGAGGCUUAACUUCGGGGCUGCAUCUGAAACUACGUUUCUUGAGUGUCGGAGAGGAAAGCGGAAUUCCCAGUGUAGCGGUGAAAUGCGUAGAUAUUGGGAGGAACACCAGUGGCGAAGGCGGCUUUCUGGACGAUAACUGACGCUGAGGCGCGAAAGCGUGGGGAGCAAACAGG
Molecule: ribosomal RNA, 253 nt
Filed under: uncultured Clostridiales Family III bacterium
Lineage: Bacteria; Bacillati; Bacillota; Clostridia; Eubacteriales; Eubacteriales Family III. Incertae Sedis
Description: partial 16S ribosomal RNA
Rfam family: Bacterial small subunit ribosomal RNA
Source: RNAcentral